CCAUCCUCAAGCUCCGCUUGGCUGGUUGGGCCGGCGUCCACCGCCUGAAAGGCAGUGGCGGCUCCCGGGGACUCUGGUCCCGGGGGCGGUGAUGCAUGGGUCUCUUCAUCCACCGUCCCACGGGCCGCGCCCCCGGAGUCGGUCGAACGGUCGGUCUUCCCCUGUA
This 166-nucleotide unclassified non-coding RNA is filed under the name uncultured Elaphomyces. RNAcentral describes it as "sequence contains ITS2". Lineage: Eukaryota; Fungi; Ascomycota; Eurotiomycetes; Eurotiales; Elaphomycetaceae. The record is from RNAcentral.